This 21-nucleotide non-coding RNA is filed under the name Caenorhabditis elegans. The record is from RNAcentral. Lineage: Eukaryota; Metazoa; Nematoda; Chromadorea; Rhabditida; Rhabditidae.
UUCCAUAUUCACUAAAAAUGC